UUUAAGCAUAUUAAAACGCAAA
RNAcentral lists this ribosomal RNA (22 nucleotides) under Rhizoctonia solani. Its description in RNAcentral is "28S ribosomal RNA". Lineage: Eukaryota; Fungi; Basidiomycota; Agaricomycetes; Cantharellales; Ceratobasidiaceae. The record is from RNAcentral.